This 270-nucleotide ribosomal RNA is filed under the name uncultured archaeon. RNAcentral describes it as "partial 16S ribosomal RNA". It matches the Rfam family "Archaeal small subunit ribosomal RNA", at positions 477 to 747 of the family's 1478-position model. The record is from RNAcentral.
CAGCACCUCAAGUGGUCAGGAUGAUUAUUGGGCCUAAAGCAUCCGUAGCCGGCUCUGUAAGUUUUCGGUUAAAUCUGUACGCUCAACGUACAGGCUGCCGGGAAUACUGCAGAGCUAGGGAAUGGGAGAGGUAGACGGUACUCGGUAGGAAGGGGUAAAAUCCUUUGAUCUAUUGAUGACCACCUGUGGCGAAGGCGGUCUACCAGAACACGUUCGACGGUGAGGGAUGAAAGCUGGGGGAGCAAACCGGAUUAGAUACCCGAGUAGUCC